UUACCGAAGUUACCCUUCAAACCCUUUGUGAACCUACCCCUGCCGUUGCCUCGGCGGGAGGCGGGGAAGGCCCCCGGGCCGCCCCCGCCCCCGCCGGCGGCGCCAAACUCUUAUUUGCACAGCGGACAACGCCUCUGAUUUUAGAAAUAAAACAAGUCAAAACUUUCAACAACGGAUCUCUUGGUUCUGGCAUCGAUGAAGAACGCAGCGAAAUGCGAUAAGUAAUGUGAAUUGCAGAAUUCAGUGAAUCAUCGAAUCUUUGAACGCACAUUGCGCCCGGCAGUAAUCUGCCGGGCAUGCCUGUCCGAGCGUCAUUUCUGCCCUCGAGCGCGGUUCCGCCCUAGCCGGCGUGCCGCUGCCUCGGUGUUGGGGCACCACGGGGGAGCCCUAGCGCUCCCCCCGCGGGCCCCGAAAUGAAGUGGCGACCCCGCCGCGGCGCCCCCUGCGUAGUAGUCUAACAGCUCGCAUCGGGUCCCGGCGGAGGCCUGCCGUCAAGCCCUCAACUCAGAUGGUUUGACCUCGGAUCAGGUAGGGUUACCCGCUGAACUUAAGCAUAUCAAUAA
Molecule: small RNA, 563 nt
Filed under: Wardomycopsis inopinata
Lineage: Eukaryota; Fungi; Ascomycota; Sordariomycetes; Microascales; Microascaceae
Description: eukaryotic LSU rRNA
Rfam family: 5.8S ribosomal RNA (bases 161-314)
Source: RNAcentral